Molecule: long non-coding RNA, 365 nt
Organism: Cyprinodon tularosa
Lineage: Eukaryota; Metazoa; Chordata; Actinopteri; Cyprinodontiformes; Cyprinodontidae
Exons: 4
Source: RefSeq, a predicted model, not a curated record
CAAACCGGAGGAGCAGUAAACAGUGAGAGCAUGUUCAGAACUGUGGACGUCCAAAAUCAGAACUGCUGUGAGGAACCGGGACAUCCAGGAUGCUGAGGAGCCUCCUAGUCCCCACCUGAGGACGGCACAGAGGAGAACACGUGCAGAGAAGCAGGUUGAAUAUGGAAGCAGCGUUCUAACAGUCGGAUCUCAGGGGAACAGAGUCCAUCCACACGUAUUUGGAGGAGCUAAAGCAGAGGAUGGGGAACACAGACCACCAAGGAGGAGAAACAUGGCUGCCCUGCUCGUCUCUCCAACAUUCUGGAGUCCUGGAAUGAAAAACGUCGACGACCCCACAGCUAAACCAUCAGUCUGCUCCACCCAGA